GUUAAUAACAAAGAGAAGCACGAAAAUUGCAGUGGAGAGCGCCGACUGCUUCAGGUAAGAAUUUAGUUGAAUUUACUUAGUUUGAAUUUAUUUCAUACUCCUAAUAUCUUCCUAUUGAUAAUAUGAAGUGAAUUACUUUUAUUAUGGGUAAGGUGUAUGUUCUGCCAACUAUUGGUAUUCAUGGUGAAAACAAUUAUUAAAAUGAUAUUGUGGUUGGAAUAAUGUUACGGCUAUGGAGAAUGAAUAAUAUGUAUACGCAGGAAUCACAGUUUUAGCUUAAUGUAGAUUUUGUUAGGUUUGUGCGUCAGUUGUAUAUUAGUUAGGUUAUAAUAAUUAAUUAGUAAUUCCUUAAUAAUGAUAAAAAAAGAGAUGGAAAAAUUAGAGACAGUGACAUUGGCAUCUUUACCGUUCUACUGCUUUGAUUUCACAUAGGAAUAAAGAUUGAUAUUUGUGACAUUAGCUAAUGAUAAGGCAAUCUAUUAUUAAUGAUUGGACUAUGAUGAUGAAUUUGAUAUUGGAUAAUGGUUUCCGUAAACUGUAAUUAGUAUUUGAGUUGCCAUUUUCCUUACUCGGCUGAAAAUUUGAGAUUUCUCAUGCGAAAUCAUCAAUUACAGUUUAUGAUAAAAUUAAUUUUUGGCCUACGGUAAUUUUUUUAUUAGAAAUUAUAAAAUGGGUGUCAUUAGAUUCGUCUCUUAUGGGGUUUAUAUACUUGAACAUAUUUUGAUCAUUUGGAGACUUUACGGAAGGGUAAAACCAUUGCAAAUUAGCUUGCUUUUGGAUUCCUUGGAUGAGGUAGGUUAUGAUUUAAUUGGAGUUUAGACUCGAUUUCAUUGUUUGUAUACUCGUAAAUUGAAUUUUCUUUGAUUGGUAUUCAGACAUGCUUGAAUUUGAUGAUAUUUAGAUUAUUGAGAUAUGUAUAAAUAAUUAUUGAAAAUUUACUUGAUGAAAUUGUCUUAUGACUUUAAGUGUACUUGUAACUUUAGUACAUCGUAUUGUAUCCUGAGAUAUAGUGUAAAUUUGAGAAAACAUAUCUAAUAUUGUUAUGGAGGAUCGGGUAUCACGCCGGUAUGAAUAUGAUAUUAAUAUUACUUAUUUUUGGAGGAUGGGGUACCACACCGGUACGAAUAUGAUAUUGAUAUUAUUUAUUUAUGGAGGAUCGGGUACUAUGCUGGUACGAAUAUGAUAUUGAUAUUAUUUGUUUAUGGAGUAUCGGGUACCGCGUCGGUAAGAAUUGAUACGAAUAUGAUAUUGAUAUUACUUAUUUAUGGAGGAUCGGGUACCACGCCGACACGGUACAUGAACAUAGAUAGUUCCCUCAUGACUAGUUGGGCAAAAAUAAGUCCCUUAGAAUGUGUGUACAUAUUUUUGUUGAAUUUGAGAGGUUAUAUGGGUUAUUAAGAAGAUAUCGAGCUAAUGGUGUUCUAAUUGUGAAGUUUAGAAGGAUGCGGUUGUUAUUUAUGGUAUUGUUGUUGAUUCUGUGGAUGUUUAUUACAUGGUCGAUACUCUUAAUGAUUAUGUGGCUUGUUCGUAAGCUCUGUUUGACCUGUUAUUGAUGUAUUGUUGAUUAAUUGAGUACUUGUUAUGUGACAAUGUAUGUCUAUUUUCUAUUUGAUUUAUGUUGUGUAUAUGUUAUUAAAUUGAGUUGGUCUAUGAUACCUACCAGCACAUAGUGGUUUGUACUGAUACUAUCCUGUACUCUUCUUUUGCUGAGCGCAAAAAGUGUUCCAGAGACUCAGACACGACGUUACCUCUAGAGUUUGGUAGCAGAUCUUGAUCCAAGAGUGACCACUCCGUCUCUAGGAUGCUAUGGGUCAUCCUAUUUGUUCUUGUCCAUCUUCCGAGAAAUAAAACAUUCUUUAUUUUCUUUCUUUUUGGAUAAUCUUUUAGACAUGAUCUUUGUUUAGAAUUUCUUGUACAAUGACUUUCGGGUCUUGGGAAUUUAAGUAAGUAGUUUGUUUGAAUUUCACAUUAAUAAUGAUUAGCUCUGGAUUAACAAAUUUCACAUUAAUAAUGAUUAGCUCUG
RNAcentral lists this long non-coding RNA (2023 nucleotides) under Capsicum annuum. RNAcentral describes it as "long non-coding RNA (CANN_LNC001018)". The record is from RNAcentral. Lineage: Eukaryota; Viridiplantae; Streptophyta; Magnoliopsida; Solanales; Solanaceae.